ACAUCGAGACCUCCAAGAAGAUGGAUAUUCAAACAGUGGUCUUCACUCCCAACUUUCUUCAACUAGUGACAGCACUUGCUAGUUCACUCCAUACGGCAAGUAGUUGUGAAGGUGACCUUUUCAGCAACAUGCAAUGCCCUCGUGUUGACAUUGAGUUUGUCAUAGUCCAACAUUUAGCACACCAUCAUAAUUGUAAGCAAUUUUUUAGGGUUAUAAAACUGUUUAGAAUCGCCGCAACGGGAGAUUAUAAUCUAGAUCUAUCACGCGGAAUCUGAGUGUUUUGCACAAUCUAGAGCUCAUUCCUUUUGCCGAGCUUCGCCAAUGGAAGAACCCUACAGCACAACUAGUACGGAUGCACCCUCCUUCGUAAGCUGAACCAGAGCUGCCCAAAAAACCAUCACAGUAUCAUCGAAAU
This 415-nucleotide long non-coding RNA is filed under the name Physcomitrium patens. RNAcentral describes it as "long non-coding RNA (PPAT_LNC000559)". Lineage: Eukaryota; Viridiplantae; Streptophyta; Bryopsida; Funariales; Funariaceae. The record is from RNAcentral.